Caenorhabditis elegans is the source of this 135-nucleotide small nucleolar RNA. The record is from Ensembl. Lineage: Eukaryota; Metazoa; Nematoda; Chromadorea; Rhabditida; Rhabditidae.
GAAGAUCAAGAGCGAGGAUCGGGCCCUUAGCAGGCCUACUGAGCCACGUUUGUAAAGAUCUAGCUUCAAAUUGCACCAAAUUAUACACAUGUUUAAGUCUAACUCGAGAGUUUGAUAGAAGGCUCACCGUGGAAG